AAAGAUUUAGUUAAACAAAAAUAACAUUAACUUGUCAAGUUUAAAUUAUCAAAUAAAGAUAAUCUUUA
This 68-nucleotide transfer RNA is filed under the name Scolytinae sp. BMNH 1274292. RNAcentral's name for it is "tRNA-Asp". The record is from RNAcentral. Lineage: Eukaryota; Metazoa; Arthropoda; Insecta; Coleoptera; Curculionidae.